Molecule: long non-coding RNA, 358 nt
Organism: Mustela lutreola (European mink)
Lineage: Eukaryota; Metazoa; Chordata; Mammalia; Carnivora; Mustelidae
Exons: 3
Source: RefSeq, a predicted model, not a curated record
CGCGCCGGCGGCUGGGGCGUGGCGCCCGCCUCCCUCCCGAGCUGAGGCGGACUGGUUGGUCCCCGACGUUUCGCUGGUAGCCGGGGUUCUGAGCGUCCGCGGAGAUGCUGCAGAUUCCUUUGCAAAGUUACUUGAGAGGCCCAAAAGACCUAUGAUGUAAUCUUCAGAAAAGAACAGAAGAAAACGUCUGAGAGAAACACAGAGAAAAAGAGCCAGUCAUGGAACUCCAUGUGGAAACAGCUGGGGAGAUAGAUUAUACCUAGAAUCACUUUGAACUUGCCGAGAGCAAGCAGAAAAUUAGUGAAAUGGAGCUGACCCCUUGCUUCUGAAUGAUUGAACCAACACAACGUUCACCUUU